GCAUGCUUCUCCUUGCGGUAUUGAGGAGAGGUCGCCCGUGGCGCGUUCGCAUAAAUCUUGCCGCACAAUACACGGUCGACCUCUUUUCAGUACCCAAUCCCACCUUGCA
This 109-nucleotide microRNA precursor is filed under the name Otolemur garnettii (small-eared galago). The record is from RNAcentral. Lineage: Eukaryota; Metazoa; Chordata; Mammalia; Primates; Galagidae.